This 254-nucleotide ribosomal RNA is filed under the name uncultured bacterium. RNAcentral's name for it is "partial 16S ribosomal RNA". It matches the Rfam family "Bacterial small subunit ribosomal RNA", at positions 524 to 776 of the family's 1533-position model. The record is from RNAcentral.
UACGGAGGGUGCGAGCGUUGUCCGGAAUCACUGGGCGUAAAGGGCGCGUAGGCGGCAGAUUAAGUCAGCUGUGAAAUCUCCGAGCUUAACUCGGAACUGUCAGCUGAUACUGUUUUGCUAGAGUGCGGAAGGGGCAAUCGGAAUUCUUGGUGUAGCGGUGAAAUGCGUAGAUAUCAAGAGGAACACCUGAGGUGAAGACGGGUUGCUGGGCCGACACUGACGCUGAGUGCGCGAAAGCCAGGGGAGCAAACGGG